Molecule: long non-coding RNA, 3575 nt
Filed under: Penaeus chinensis
Lineage: Eukaryota; Metazoa; Arthropoda; Malacostraca; Decapoda; Penaeidae
Description: uncharacterized LOC125037780, transcript variant X2
Source: RNAcentral
GGGACCUUAAAGUAGUCCAUGACGUCAUAACGUCGUCCGAUUAAAAGAUGGCGUUACCAUCGCUCGUCCAUGACGUCAUGUGUUUCCAUUGGGAAAACAAGUGCCAGCGGCAGACGAACCCUCGAGCGCGCAGUUCAUGAUGGGUGGAAAAUCACAUCCAUGUGCUAUCUGUCAAAGGCGGAAAGAUUCACAUCCUCUCCAUCAUUUUCAUAGGUUUCCAAAGGACAAAGACAGAUUUCAGGUGUCUUUUGUGGCUAAAUGCUUUAAAUAUUCCAAGGCUCAACGAAAAAGGCCACACUCAUCUUAAUAGGAGCUUUCGUGUGUGCAGUCACCAUUUCUCUGCAUCUCAAUAUUGCAGCGCCUCCCCACCUAAGUUAUUAAGCACUGCACGGCCUGACCAAAAUCUUGGAAGGAAUUAGUUCAGUGGGAGAGCCUGUCCAGUCUGAAAUCUCAAAUGAGUAUAAAUUAGAUGGACAUUGCAAUAUUGACUGUGAAAAGGUAGAAGGAUUGUCUACACUGCUGGCAAAUCUUGAGAAUGUAGACCUUGAGUUUGGUAAAAUAGAAGAAUCAUCCGACCAUAGAGCUGGCAUCAGAAUGUUUAACAAUUCCAUGGACCAUGAUUUUGAUAAUAAGUUUUAUACAUAGAUUCUUAAAAGAAAUUACUUCUAGUAGCAUUGAAUACCCCAUACCAUCUUGUAUAGAUAACUAUGUGCUUAUUCCAUAUGAUUUAAUAUUUUUUGUUUACAUUGCAUAGAUAGGCCUACUCUUAACAAAAAGAAUGCUUUGGAAAGCUGUACUAUAAGAUACAUUAUGCAGGCUGCUUUGACUGGUAUGUACUAAUGCUUGAUCACUUUAUUAAUAUUUUUUAAUAAUUUAUUUAUAGCAUAAAUCUUAGCUUUUAUAAUGAAAUGCCUUUGCAGAUGAAAGCAGUCUGCCUAUGCCUGCUGAUGUUCUUCCUGCAAGCAGUCUUUCAAAUGAAAAUGAGUCUGUCAUUUUGCUGAAUGAGCCAGAUGUCUUGGAUGGAGUUUUACCACAGAUUAUAUGAAUAUAUAUAUAUAUAUAAAAUUUGUUUCUAUUAUCAUAAAUGAUACAUUUUACACUAUAUUACCUUUGCAGAUGAAAGCAACCUGGCUGCAAUUGAUAUAUUUCCUACAAGCACACACAUUCACGUAGUGUACACACACACACACACACACACACACACACACACACACACACACACACACACACACACACACACACACACACACACACACACACACACACACACACACACUAGGCUUGGCUUGGCUUGGCUUGGCUUGGCUUCAAGUUAAGGAGACAGUACUUAAGUAGAUGUGCAUUUUUAAAGGUUUUCAGUUAGUAGAGAAAUAUUCAGUUGCAGAAAUCCAAUUCCUUUUGUAUAAAAAGAAAAAAAUCUAGAUAGAAUGAGGUUCAAAAGAUUUAAGUUCAAAUCAUCUUUUAUUUUUUUACAUGGAGCAAACCUAGUUCAGGUUAAAUUAAUUAUAUUUAGGACUAUAAUGGAUUGAAAUUACUAUAUUUUACAUGAAAAAUUCAUUUAAACUAGACUGCCUAUGUUUGUGAUAUUAGCAAAAAUGUAAAUUACAAUAGAAUCAUGUAAACAUUCAUAUGGCAUAUAACUAUAUAGACAGCAUUUCACAAUAUUUGAAAGUACAAGCACAAAUACAUCAAUCUCUAGAAUCUCAAUUGUAUAAGUACUCUGAUUUUUUAUACUAAAGUACAAAUACUUGGAUCCAAACCUGGUUAAUACAUAUGCAUAUACUUUUUCUACUUAGAAAUGUGUAAUUGCUCAAUUAUUGAGGUAUUCAUUUGAAUUGUUGUAUAAAGAAAUCAAUGUCUUGUGCAAUGAUAUGACCAUUUAUAGUUUAGUUUAUGCUUUAAGAUAUCACUAUGCAUGCCAUAAAAAUAGAUUAUAUUAAAUAUCCUGUUUUUUAAGCAUUUUUUGCUAUAUUUCAGCAAAUGCAAGCAUACAUCAGUCACCAUGUUCACAAAAGAUUAAAACCAAAAACAAAAUAAUUCAAAAUUUAAGGGUGAGAGCUCAUAGGUUGUUAAAGAAAUAUAAUAAUCUUCAAAACAGAUUAUUGUGGAAAGAUAUACAAAUCAAUUUUAAAAUAGAUUAUCUUUUAACCAGGAAAUUGAAUCAAGACUGUUUAGAAUUUUUUUUUGGUUGUGUUAGAAAUGUUUGUGGGAAUAAUGAUUCCCCUGACACAAAAUCUUUUGUUUCUGCUGUAAAGAACAUAACAGCCAAUCAUUGAAUUCAACAGUCAUCCAAUGGAAAUUGUGUAGAAGAUACAACACCAAUGUUAUCACAUAUUAAUCUUUCCAAUUUGAAGGAGAAGGCAUUCAUAAAAGAAGUCAGUAUUUCAAGUAAUUCUCUUGAUUAUAUCAUUGACAGAGAUUCUGCAUAAGUAGAGGCAAGUAUCUCGAGUAGCCUAGAACAUUUGCAAACCCUUCAUUUAUCAUCACAUUCUACUAAUAUAGCAACAUAUUUUUCUUCAUUUGUUCCUUAUAAUGAUGCCGCAACUACUUCCACAUCUGAAAUGUCACCCAUGCCAUAUCCCGAUUUAAUUGAAAAUGCUGCUGCAUAUAUUGUUAGUUACAUAUGCCAUAAAGUAAUAAAAAGCCAUAAGUGUGACAAUUGCAGACAGCAGAUAAUUCAGUCUCCUAAAGAUAAUUCUGAUAACACUGAUAUAUUUUUCAAUGCCAAAGCUCUUGAUGAAUAUAAAUAUUUAACUUUUCCUAAACUUGAAAUUAUUGAUACAGUAACAGAUUUCGAAAAAACGUUUAUGUCAAAAAUUAAUGAUUAUAUGUAUAAAGAUAAAUUAAAAUAUAAUUUAGCAAUAGAAUUAAACAAAAUUCAAUUUGGUUUUAAUCUUUGUAGUGGAGUACAAGACAAAUUCAUAAAUAUUUUCCUCACCAUGAGAAUUCACCAUCACAUUAAAAUAUUUAACAGAAACUUACGAAUAAGAAAGAGCAUAGACAGCAGUCAUCUACCUACAAAGAAAAACAGAGAACUUCAAAAGGUAAUUCAUCACUAGCAUGUUUUUUAUCAGUUUUUUGUUUCUUUCUGUUUCCUUUUGUGUUUGUCUUUAUUGUUUUUUAUUUGUUACUUUUGAGUUUCUGUUUUUGUCUGAGUUUGGGUUUUGUUUGCUUUGUUUUUUAAAUGUUUAUCUGGUUUUGUCUUUAUUUCUAACAAAAAUAGCCUGUUAUUUUAUAUAUUUUUAUUUUUGUUUGUAAUUUCUGUUUCAUGUUUACAUGAAAUGUAACAUAAUGUCUGUGUGUUCAUUUUUAUGUAUAUACCUUGCUUAACUGUUUCUGCAUUAUUGUUUUAUUUUCUGACCAUUUUUUUUCUAAUGUGCAUUAUUGGACUGCAUGCUCCUCUUCAUUAUUUGUUGUUUUCUCAUUGUUUUUUGUCUUGUCCUUGCAUGAUUCUAAAUUAUUUUUGUUUAUAUAUAUUUGUUACUGAUUUUGCAUGUGUUUUUAUGGCAUAUGCAUGUCACGUUUAUAUGUCAAUCAUAGGUACAGUAUUUUUAUUAUAAUAAAAGCAAUCCAUA